UUUUUGAAAUUAAUUUAAAGUCUAACCUGCCCACUGAGGAUUUAAAUGGCCGCAGUAUUCUAACUGUGCAAAGGUAGCAUAAUCAUUAGUCUUUUAAUUGAAGGCUGGAAUGAAUGGUUGAAUGAAAUAUUAACUGUUUCAAAUAAAUUUGUAAUAGAAUUUUAUUUUUUAGUCAAAAAGCUAAAAUAAUAUUAAAAGACGAGAAGACCCUAUAAAUCUUUAUAUUUUAUUAGUUUUAAUUAUUUAGAAAAAUUAAAUUAUAACUUUGAAAAUAUUUUAUUGGGGUGAUAUUAAAAUUUAAUAAACUUUUAAUUUAUAAUUUACAUAAAUUAAUGAAUUAUUGAUCCAUAUAUUAUGAUUAUAAAAUUAAGUUACUUUAGGGAUAACAGCGUAAUUUUUUUAGAGAGUUCAUAUUGAUAAAAA
Molecule: ribosomal RNA, 423 nt
Filed under: Metopina galeata
Lineage: Eukaryota; Metazoa; Arthropoda; Insecta; Diptera; Phoridae
Description: partial 16S ribosomal RNA
Source: RNAcentral